Molecule: transfer RNA, 70 nt
Filed under: Melanophryniscus setiba (Restinga toadlet)
Lineage: Eukaryota; Metazoa; Chordata; Amphibia; Anura; Bufonidae
Description: tRNA-Val
Rfam family: tRNA
About the family: Transfer RNA (tRNA) molecules are approximately 80 nucleotides in length. Their secondary structure includes four short double-helical elements and three loops (D, anti-codon, and T loops).
Source: RNAcentral
CGAGACGUAGCUUAACAUAAAGCAUUUCGCUUACACCGAAAAAAUGUUCGUGAAACCCGAACUGUUCCGA